This 599-nucleotide ribosomal RNA is filed under the name uncultured bacterium. RNAcentral's name for it is "bacterial SSU rRNA". The stretch from base 1 to 518 matches the Rfam family "Bacterial small subunit ribosomal RNA", at positions 338 to 873 of the family's 1533-position model. The record is from RNAcentral.
CCUACGGGAGGCAGCAGUGGGGAAUAUUGGACAAUGGGCGAAAGCCUGAUCCAGCAAUGCCGCGUGAGUGAUGAAGGCCUUAGGGUUGUAAGGCUCUUUUACCAGGGAUGAUAAUGACGGUACCUGGAGAAUAAGCUCCGGCUAACUCCGUGCCAGCAGCCGCGGUAAUACGGAGGGAGCUAGCGUUGUUCGGAAUUACUGGGCGUAAAGCGUACGUAGGCGGUUAUUCAAGUCAGAGGUGAAAGCCUGGAGCUCAACUCCAGAACUGCCUUUGAAACUAGGUAGCUAGAAUCACGGAGAGGUUAGUGGAAUUCCGAGUGUAGAGGUGAAAUUCGUAGAUAUUCGGAAGAACACCAGUGGCGAAGGCGACUAACUGGACGUGUAUUGACGCUGAGGUACGAAAGCGUGGGGAGCAAACAGGAUUAGAUACCCUGGUAGUCCACNCCGUAAACGAUGAUAACUAGCUGUUCGGGGUCAACGAUCUUGAGUGGCGCAGCUACGCAUUAAGUUAUUCCGUCCGUGGGUAGGUACGGUCGCGAGAUUAAACUAACAAGAAGUAGACGCGNGAGACGUGCCGACGACGACGACGAGGGAGUAGG